This 497-nucleotide ribosomal RNA is filed under the name uncultured bacterium. RNAcentral's name for it is "partial 16S ribosomal RNA". It matches the Rfam family "Bacterial small subunit ribosomal RNA", at positions 28 to 507 of the family's 1533-position model. The record is from RNAcentral.
GAUGAACGCUGGCGGCGUGCCUAAUACAUGCAAGUCGAGCGAACGGACGAGAAGCUUGCUUCUCUGAUGUUAGCGGCGGACGGGUGAGUAACACGUGGAUAACCUACCUAUAAGACUGGGAUAACUUCGGGAAACCGGAGCUAAUACCGGAUAAUAUUUUGAACCGCAUGGUUCAAAAGUGAAAGACGGUCUUGCUGUCACUUAUAGAUGGAUCCGCGCUGCAUUAGCUAGUUGGUAAGGUAACGGCUUACCAAGGCAACGAUGCAUAGCCGACCUGAGAGGGUGAUCGGCCAAACUGGAACUGAGACACGGUCCAGACUCCUACGAGAGGCAGCAGUAGGGAAUCUUCCGCAAUGGGCGAAAGCCUGACGGAGCAACGCCGUGUGAGUGAUGAAGGUCUUCGGAUCGUAAAACUCUGUUAUUAGGGAAGAACAUAUGUGUAAGUAACUGUGCACAUCUUGACGGUACCUAAUCAGAAAGCCACGGCUAACUACGUG